Molecule: non-coding RNA, 492 nt
Organism: Hydra vulgaris (swiftwater hydra)
Lineage: Eukaryota; Metazoa; Cnidaria; Hydrozoa; Anthoathecata; Hydridae
Source: RefSeq, a predicted model, not a curated record
CUUGUUUGUGGUCAUCAAAUUUAGUUAAAAUAUUUAAAAAAUUAAAAACAACAACAAAAAAAAACUAUUUACAAGUAAGAUAAAUUAUAUGAGAUCUUUAAUUUAUAUAUAAGAUAAUUUUAUUCUGUUCUAAUAUCUGUGUAAUGCUAGUUUAAAAUAUUAUUUUUUAAUAUAUUGAUUUUUUAUAUUAGGUAGGUGCCCAUUCUGUUCCUAUCUUCAGAAGUUAUUUAUACCUAUACAAUACCUUCGCUCAGGUUAAAGAAUGGAAUACUAGUCUUGCAUCAAGUGUAUGUAAAAAUCUAGCUUUUAUAUAUUAACUUGUGAUCAGAGCAACUGAUAUUUUACAUAUCCAUUCGAUGUUUAUCACCAGAAGUUAGUUCUACCUUUGCAGUACCUCUGCUCUACAUACCUCCUCGCUGGUUAAAGAAUGGAAUAUAAAUCUCAUAUCAAGUUGGUGUAAAAAUUUAGUUCAAUAAAUUAAGAAUUUGUAAA